GUCAGUUGUGACUAGAUGGGAGUAGCCUGGCGCUUCCUCUUCUGGUACGUAGGCUGUACUGUCAGCUGGCGCAGAUGCAAGUUGCCUUCAAUGAAGACUUUGCUGGUCACAUGGUCUGUGAGCGUUAGGUAAUUGUUACUCCGCGGUGUUUCCUCAAUGACACUCUAUUUCGUAUAUGGAGCCCUGGCCAAAAGUAGUGCACUAUAUAGGGAAUAGGGCUCUGGCUAAAAGUAGUGCACUAUAUAGGGAAUAGGGCUCUGGCUAAAAGUAGUGCACUACAUAGGGAAUAGGGCCCUGGCCAAAAGUAGUGCACUAUAUAGGGAAUAGGGCUCUGGUCUAAAGUAGUGCACUAUAUAGGGAACAUAUGGAGCCCUGGCCAAAAUAGUGCACUAUAUAGGGAAUAGGGCUCUGGUCUAAAGUAGUGCACUAUAUAGGGAAUAGGGCUCUGGUCUAAAGUAGUGCACUAUAUAGGGAAUAGGGCUCUCUGGUCUAAAGUAGUGCACUAUAUAGGGAAUAGGACUUUGGUCUAAAGUAGU
Molecule: long non-coding RNA, 536 nt
Organism: Oncorhynchus tshawytscha (Chinook salmon)
Lineage: Eukaryota; Metazoa; Chordata; Actinopteri; Salmoniformes; Salmonidae
Source: Ensembl